RNAcentral lists this ribosomal RNA (511 nucleotides) under uncultured archaeon. RNAcentral describes it as "bacterial SSU rRNA". It matches the Rfam family "Bacterial small subunit ribosomal RNA", at positions 399 to 931 of the family's 1533-position model. The record is from RNAcentral.
CGGUGAUGAUGAAGGCCUUAGGUUGUAAAGCUCUUUUACCUGGGAAGAUAAUGACGGUACCAGGAGAAUAAGCCCCGGCUAACUUCGUGCCAGCAGCCGCGGUAAUACGAAGGGGGCUAGCGUUGUUCGGAAUCACUGGGCGUAAAGCGCACGUAGGCGGAUCUUUAAGUCAGAGGUGAAAGCCUGGAGCUCAACUCCAGAACUGCCUUUGAUACUGGGGAUCUCGAGUCCGGGAGAGGUGAGUGGAACUGCGAGUGUAGAGGUGAAAUUCGUAGAUAUUCGCAAGAACACCAGUGGCGAAGGCGGCUCACUGGCCUGUACUGACGCUCAUGCACGAAAGCGUGGGGAGCAAACAGGAUUAGAUACCCUGGUAGUCCACGCCCUAAACGAUGUCAACUGGUUGUUGGGUCUUCACUGACUCAGUAACGAAGCUAACGCGUGAAGUUGACCGCCUGGGGAGUACGGGCGCCAGGUUGAAACUCAGAGGAAUUGACGGGGACCCGCACAAGCG